CUCUCACUUAAGGGAACUGCUUGCUGUUAUAGGAGCAUAACAUUUUCUCAGCACCCUGGUUAAAGAUAACGGUACAAUGUACACACAAGUAAUACAAAAUGAAGUCGAGAGGAAGAGACUGAUAACGACUGGGGACCUCAAAGGCCUCUUGAAGGAAGUAACACUAGAACUGUGUUUUGCAAAAAAGGUGAUGAAACUCAAUCCCAGAGAGGAGAAAUUUGCC
Long non-coding RNA from Vombatus ursinus (common wombat), 223 nucleotides. RefSeq lists it as uncharacterized. The record is from RefSeq and is a predicted model, not a curated record. The transcript has 3 exons. NCBI's taxonomy places the organism in Eukaryota, Metazoa, Chordata, Mammalia, Diprotodontia, Vombatidae.